AUUGAACGCUGGCGGCAUGCCUUACACAUGCAAGUCGAACGGAAGCGUCGGCUUUGGUCUGGCGGCGAGUGGCGAACGGGUGGGUCAUGCCUCGGAAUGUGCCAUGUCGUGGGGGAAAGCGUGCUGAAAGCCGGUUUAAUCCCGCAUACGACCUGUGGGCGACAGUGGGGGAGCGCACGGCCUCGCGCUUUUGGAGUGGCCGAAGUCGGAUGAGCUAGUAGGGGGGGUAGCGGCUUACCAAGGCGACGAUCCGAAACUGGUCUGAAAGGACGGCCAGUCACACGGGGACUGAGACACGGCCCAGACUCCGACGGGAGGCAGCAGUGGGGAAUUUUGGACGAGGGGGGCGACGCGGAUCCAGCCAUGCCGCGUGCGGGAAGAAGGCCUUCGGGUGGUAAACUGCUGAUGGUCGGGAGGAAGUCCACUUCGCUAAUACCCCGGGAUAAUGACGGUACCGGAAGAAUAAGCACCGGCUAACUACGUG
RNAcentral lists this ribosomal RNA (484 nucleotides) under uncultured bacterium. Its description in RNAcentral is "partial 16S ribosomal RNA". It matches the Rfam family "Bacterial small subunit ribosomal RNA", at positions 28 to 507 of the family's 1533-position model. The record is from RNAcentral.